UGGGGGGUCGUCCAACUGGCAGCGACACCGGGUUUUGGUCCCGGGGAUCGGGGUUCGAGUCCCUGCCCCCCAG
Molecule: transfer RNA, 73 nt
Filed under: Mycobacterium sp.
Lineage: Bacteria; Bacillati; Actinomycetota; Actinomycetes; Mycobacteriales; Mycobacteriaceae
Description: tRNA-Gln
Rfam family: tRNA
About the family: Transfer RNA (tRNA) molecules are approximately 80 nucleotides in length.
Source: RNAcentral